CGUGCUAAGGUAGCAUAAUCACUUGGUCUUUAAUUGGGUUCUGGUAUGAAAGGUUAAACAAAGACCAGUUUCUUAUUUAUAGAGGUAAAACUUAAGGUUUAAGUAAAAACGCUUAAAAAACUGUGGGACGAUAAGACCCUAAAAGCUUAAUCUUAGCACCUCCGGCUAAACCUCGUGAUUUGUUAAUAAGAUUUGGUUGGGGUAACAACCUUAAAUGUAUUAAGGUUAUUUAAAUACAAUUAGUAUCUAAGGACCCUUAAUAUUAGGAUAAAAAUAGAAGUUACUUUAGGGGUAACAGGGUAAUUAUUUUACGGAGCUCUUAUCUACAAAAUAGAUUGCCACCUCGAUGUUGAAUUAAGGUCUCUACGCUAAGCAAAAAGAGCGCAAGAAGGUUUGUUCAACCUUUAAUUCCUUACAUGAUCUGAGUUCAAACCGGA
Molecule: ribosomal RNA, 437 nt
Filed under: Eogammarus tiuschovi
Lineage: Eukaryota; Metazoa; Arthropoda; Malacostraca; Amphipoda; Anisogammaridae
Description: partial 16S rRNA
Rfam family: Bacterial large subunit ribosomal RNA
Source: RNAcentral